AUUGAACGCUGGCGGCAGGCCUAACACAUGCAAGUCGAGCGGAUGAAGGGAGCUUGCUCCUGGAUUCAGCGGCGGACGGGUGAGUAAUGCCUAGGAAUCUGCCUGGUAGUGGGGGAUAACGUCCGGAAACGGGCGCUAAUACCGCCUACGUCCUGAGGGAGAAAGUGGGGGAUCUUCGGACCUCACGCUAUCAGAUGAGCCUAGGUCGGAUUAGCUAGUUGGUGGGGUAAAGGCCUACCAAGGCGACGAUCCGUAACUGGUCUGAGAGGAUGAUCAGUCACACGGGAACUGAGACACGGUCCAGACUCCUACGGGAGGCAGCAGUGGGGAAUAUUGGACAAUGGGCGAAAGCCUGAUCCAGCCAUGCCGCGUGUGUGAAGAAGGUCUUCGGAUUGUAAAGCACUUUAAGUUGGGAGGAAGGGCAGUAAGUUAAUACCUUGCUGUUUUGACGUUACCAACAGAAUAAGCACCGGCUAACUUCGUG
This 484-nucleotide ribosomal RNA is filed under the name uncultured bacterium. RNAcentral's name for it is "partial 16S ribosomal RNA". It matches the Rfam family "Bacterial small subunit ribosomal RNA", at positions 30 to 507 of the family's 1533-position model. The record is from RNAcentral.